GACGAACGCUGGCGGCGUGCUUAACACAUGCAAGUCGAACGGGAACCUUUAUUUCGGUAAAGGAGAGAGUGGCAAACGGGUGAGUAACACGUAGGCAACCUGCCGACAGGAUGGGGACAACAUUCCGAAAGGAAUGCUAAUACCGAAUGGAGUCCGAGGAUGGCAUCAUCCUUGGAUAAAAGAUGGCCUCUGAAUAUGCUAUCGCCUGUCGAUGGGCCUGCGUCUGAUUAGCCAGUUGGCGGGGUAACGGCCCACCAAAGCGACGAUCAGUAGCCGGUCUGAGAGGAUGAACGGCCACAUUGGGACUGAGACACGGCCCAGACUCCUACGGGAGGCAGCAGUGGGGAAUCUUCCACAAUGGGCGAAAGCCUGAUGGAGCAACGCCGCGUGAGUGAAGAAGGUCUUCGGAUCGUAAAGCUCUGUUGCACGGGACGAAAACUGGGUUUGAAAACAUUGAACCUGGGUGACGACC
This 472-nucleotide ribosomal RNA is filed under the name Selenomonas sputigena. RNAcentral's name for it is "bacterial SSU rRNA". It matches the Rfam family "Bacterial small subunit ribosomal RNA", at positions 28 to 479 of the family's 1533-position model. Lineage: Bacteria; Bacillati; Bacillota; Negativicutes; Selenomonadales; Selenomonadaceae. The record is from RNAcentral.